UGUGAUCGAAUCUGAAAGAGAAUAAGUUGACAAAAAGGACGGUCUAGGAUUUGAGUAGUAGUCUAUAAAACGACUACCACUCUAUGGAUUAGUCAGUGAAAUGUCAAAAUUAUUUGACAACAACAAAACGCAUUUACAUAUAUUUUUACACUUAAGUUACUUUAUUUCAUUAAAAUAUAAAUAUUCUUUGGUUUAGAAUUCUAAAACAUGGCUUUAAAUAAACCAUUAAAUGAAUUUAAAAAAAAUAUAAACUAAAAAUAUCACAGUCAACUACAUCAGGCUACAUAACCUCUUCUGUGCAAUGUUUUUUGUUAAUUAAGUAAAUCUCCAACAACGAUAUUAUACGGAUGGGGUGGAGAAA
Long non-coding RNA from Chrysoperla carnea, 361 nucleotides. RefSeq lists it as uncharacterized. NCBI's taxonomy places the organism in Eukaryota, Metazoa, Arthropoda, Insecta, Neuroptera, Chrysopidae. The record is from RefSeq and is a predicted model, not a curated record. The transcript has 2 exons.